UGGACAGAUUAUUGUAUUCGACUGUAUUCGCAGCGUGAAACAGGAGAUUACACCAUUUUAACGGAAAGUGAAUCAAUUAACAUAAUAGACUCCU
Molecule: microRNA precursor, 94 nt
Filed under: Nicotiana sylvestris (wood tobacco)
Lineage: Eukaryota; Viridiplantae; Streptophyta; Magnoliopsida; Solanales; Solanaceae
Description: MIR6152 microRNA precursor family
Rfam family: MIR6152 microRNA precursor family
Source: Rfam by way of RNAcentral